RNAcentral lists this microRNA precursor (104 nucleotides) under Podarcis lilfordi (Lilford's wall lizard). The record is from RNAcentral. Lineage: Eukaryota; Metazoa; Chordata; Lepidosauria; Squamata; Lacertidae.
UGUACGUGUGUGUGUGUGUGUGUGUGUGUGUGUGUCUCUCUCUCUCUCUCUAUAUAUAUAUAUACACACACACACACAAACACAAACACAAACACACACAUACA